GAUGAACGCUGGCUACAGGCUUAACACAUGCAAGUCGAGGGGAAACGACGGGGAAGCUUGCUUCCCCGGGCGUCGACCGGCGCACGGGUGAGUAACGCGUAUCCAACCUGCCUCUGACUGAGGGAUAACCCGUCGAAAGUCGGCCUAAUACCUCAUGGUAUCGUCUGCGGGCAUCCAACGACGAUUAAAGAUUUCAUCGGUCAGGGAUGGGGAUGCGUCUGAUUAGCUUGUUGGCGGGGUAACGGCCCACCAAGGCUACGAUCAGUAGGGGUUCUGAGAGGAAGGUCCCCCACAUUGGAACUGAGACACGGUCCAAACUCCUACGGGAGGCAGCAGUGAGGAAUAUUGGUCAAUGGGCGAGAGCCUGAACCAGCCAAGUAGCGUGCAGGAAGACGGCCCUAUGGGUCGUAAACUGCUUUUAUGCGGGGAUAAAGUGAGGGACGUGUCCCUCAUUGCAGGUACCGCAUGAAUAAGGACCGGCUAAUUCCGUG
RNAcentral lists this ribosomal RNA (491 nucleotides) under uncultured bacterium. RNAcentral describes it as "partial 16S ribosomal RNA". It matches the Rfam family "Bacterial small subunit ribosomal RNA", at positions 28 to 507 of the family's 1533-position model. The record is from RNAcentral.